This 73-nucleotide transfer RNA is filed under the name Mesocricetus auratus (golden hamster). It matches the Rfam family "tRNA". From Rfam's summary of the family: Transfer RNA (tRNA) molecules are approximately 80 nucleotides in length. The record is from Rfam by way of RNAcentral. Lineage: Eukaryota; Metazoa; Chordata; Mammalia; Rodentia; Cricetidae.
GCUGGGCUAGCUCAGUCGGCUGAGCGUGAGACUCUUAAUCUCAGGGUCGCGGGUUCGGGCCCUGUGUUGUGUG